GGGAUCUUCUUUGGUUUUUCCCCAUAGAAAACAAUGUGAAUGGCAUGCUUGAGUCUUUUAACAGCACCAAUGCAAUGCUCAUACAAUCACCACAGGGUUUUCAAUAGAUUCGUGGGCUGUCGCAAUCAUAUUUGGUUGGCCAAAAGGUGCUUGACUUUUUGGUGUUCCGGUCUGCAUUCGAUUUAAAGUAAAUUAGAAACAUUUAUUUAUAAAUCUAAAACUUUACUUAUAUUUUGUAACCGAUUCAUCUUAUUUUAAAUUAAUAUAUCACUCGAUUUUCGAUUCAA
This 287-nucleotide long non-coding RNA is filed under the name Gossypium barbadense (sea-island cotton). Its description in RNAcentral is "long non-coding RNA (GBAR_LNC017209)". Lineage: Eukaryota; Viridiplantae; Streptophyta; Magnoliopsida; Malvales; Malvaceae. The record is from RNAcentral.